This is a non-coding RNA of Odocoileus virginianus texanus, 338 nucleotides long. NCBI's taxonomy places the organism in Eukaryota, Metazoa, Chordata, Mammalia, Artiodactyla, Cervidae. The record is from RefSeq and is a predicted model, not a curated record.
UGGCUACCCGACAGGAUCUCACAAAUAAUGGGGUCAUAACGCCUUACCUGGAAAGGGAUUCCAACAGGACAAAUAACAUUUAGAAGCUUUUAACAGAGCGCCUGCCCCUUGGCAAACAGACCGUGGCCCAGCACCAGGUGUGCUGGGAGUGAGCUCACCAGGGGCAGGUGGUGACAGUGGAAGGCUCUCCUGAGUGCCUGCCUGGCCUCUCUAGCACUUCACUCACUGCUGGGGACCAGAGCACUAAGAUGAAGAAGCACCUUCACAGAGCAGAGAAAACAGCAUCAUUAUAGAGGCAUACAAGUAGCAGUUGCUUCACCAGGAAUGAGGCAGUGAAC